AGCCCCCAGUGGGUGGUGGGCCUCUUUUCCCGGUGGGUGGUGGGCCUCCUUUUUCCAGGGUUGAUUAAAACCUGCUGGAUUGAGGGAUUAAUAUUCCAAGAGCAUCCAGGGUUGAUUCAAACCUGCUGGAUUGAGGGACUAAUGUUCCAAGAGCAUCCAGGGUUGGGGGACGUAGGAGGGGGGGAGCUGCACCCCGCUCGGCGUCGAGUUACCCUCGGUGGGGAGGCUCCUGGGUUAGGAGGAGAGCAAGCGGGCCUAACCCAGACGCGGAGGUGGACGGCGUCAAAGUUCCUGGGGCGGGGGAUCCCCGGAGAAACUUCCCCAAGUUUCGGCUUACUAAUUUAGUAUAAGUGUAUGUGCUCAGUGGGCCCCGUACAAGCGGGCUCCGGAAUGCGUGUGCGUGUGAAAAAGACGGUGGGCCCCGUACAAGCGGGCUCCGGAGUGCAUGUGGAAGGGACAAAGCCUCGACCCUGGAAACGGGGUCUUUAAGAGUCGUUUAGGGGUGUGUAGUCCCGGAGUGAUUGAGGUGAAUAAGAAGACACACAGGGCGAAGCCCCGGUUGAGAAACAGAGGCGCCGGAAAGACAAACGGCAGUCAGGACGGCCGAAAAGGGGUGGACUCACGCCAGCCGAGUGAAAGGCCCGGUUGCCACAAAUAACCAGUGAAGAGUGACUAGCCAGCCUGGGAACUUGAAAGUGACUCUUAAGAAAAACUAAUGAACUCUGUGGACAUUAUCCAAAUCAACCAUAAGGGGAAGCAAAGGGAUACAAUUACAAAAGACUAUAUAGUGAUUUGUAAUAAGGAAGGUUGUGGAGAUUGUUACCCUUUUGUGUGCUUUAUAUGUAAAAUUUGCCAAGAACGGUGGUGGGUCCAUUGCCAGAGGGGAAGACCACCAAUUGGGGUUUGUACUGAGUGCUAUAAAACUCAGCGAAAACUAACUGAAACUGUGCUAAGGAUAGGAGAAUUGGAAAAUCAGUGGGUCAGUUUUGGAUCUGAGUGGUGGGAAAUAUUCUUGUUUUCAUACUAACGAGCCCACUUCAUUUGCUGCUCAGAUAAUAAAAGGGUGUUGUCGAAAGGAACUGAAGGGGAUUCCUUGCAAUCCACCUCUGGUCAAAGAUAAGAACUGGGAACAGUACAAGGCUAGGCAGGAGCGGAAAAGGGGACGCUCAGGCGAGUACUGCUGCUGCCGAGAAGAUGGUUUACCUCGCGGCUCGAAGCACCCGAGUCGGCGAGCGAGGCAGAGAGGAAAAGGCCAAGCCCCCUCUAAGUGGAACAAUGCUGAAAUGCUCCAACUAUUGCCAGCCGAGUACUAGGAUCCCUCAAAGGACCAGUCUAAGUGCCUCCGAAACACCAAGGGAGCAGCAAGCCAAAAAGGGGAAAACAGGAUAUUACGUAACAAAAACAAGGCUAGGACUCCACCCUUAUUGGCAAAUUAUUAGUUUUCUAUCGCUCUGUCCUAAUGGUGUUUCUAGUCAGAACAAUGCUGAACACUUUACUUCUAGCCUACGAAGCAGCAAAGCGAUUUGAUGAACAAAAUGGUAAAAGAGAAAAUGGGGGAUUGUGAUAAACUGUGGUAACUUGUUUGUUCAUCAAAAGAAUUGGAAUAUUAAAGGAGGAAAUAUAAAAAUUAAAGUAUGAUUAAUCACCA
Vidua chalybeata is the source of this 1648-nucleotide long non-coding RNA. RefSeq lists it as uncharacterized. The record is from RefSeq and is a predicted model, not a curated record. The transcript has 2 exons. Lineage: Eukaryota; Metazoa; Chordata; Aves; Passeriformes; Viduidae.